RNAcentral lists this long non-coding RNA (858 nucleotides) under Durio zibethinus. Its description in RNAcentral is "long non-coding RNA (DZIB_LNC001589)". The record is from RNAcentral. Lineage: Eukaryota; Viridiplantae; Streptophyta; Magnoliopsida; Malvales; Malvaceae.
UUUUGUUCUGUUGAAAUUAAGGAUUUGGCCCACCAAUUAUCACAAUCUCUAACAAGAGAGAAGGAACUACUCUUUGGAAGAGGUGGGGUACUGGGGUUUGAACAUUCAAAGCCUUAAUCUUUGUUCUCUGAUGCUUAUCAGGAUAAAGAAGAAAAAGAAAAAAAAAUAAAUCUUCACUCUUUGGCAAAGAUGGAUGCCACUAAAUUCAAUUCAGUCAAAGCAACUGGAAAAUGGAAAUUGAAAAUUGAAAGUUCAAAUGAAAAGAAAACAAUAAAAUUUCAUUACAAUCAAACAUUUCUUUGUACAAAGACUAAAUAAUGCACCCACUUGCAUCAAGAGAACCCAAAAAAAAAAAUGAAAAUUUCUUCAUAUAUGUCCAUAAGGACGUAAAUGGCCAUGUUGAUCGUAUCAAAAUUGGGCUUUCCAAGCUGAAUCUGGUCUCGUCACCGAGAGAACAAAGCACCGGCACAUCGGCUGCUACUCCGAGAAAAGAUGGAGGCAACAGAAUGUGCCAGACCCAACACUAUAGCCACCUUUACUUGUCCCCUCUUGGGAAUCCGUCGGCCAGCAAUUCUCUGAGAGUAAAUCCCACCCUUCGUCAUUGCCCUCCUCGUACCACCCAUAUGUAUCUUCUUCUCUUUGCUGAUUAAACCUCUUCGGAGAUUUUAACGUUUGGAGUAGUGAAGUAGACCCAAGUACUGAAAUCUGAAGGUUGUGAUGCCAGAUGUGUCUGAAUUUUAGGUUGAGUUUUGCAGGCAGGAAGGUGCCCUUUAUAUAGAGCCUCUAUAUGCUUGAAAUCCAAUAAUAAUCAACCAAUGUUAUCCUAAGAGCAAAGUUCUUGAUGAUCAAGUAAGUGAU